UACAGACUAUCCUAUAAAUUACCAUCGACUACAGGCAAGAAUUGAACAGGAUUGACAAGAUGUCUGGACGUAUUUUCUGCCUUGUCUUGGUACUAUUUAGUUUGAUAGCUCUCCAGGAUGAAGUUAAAGGUUUAAAAAGAGAUGAACGGAAUAUACCAGAUCAGAAAUCUUCCUCUGGAAAACCUGAUACAAAAGAGACUCGGCAAGUGCCUGGUAUCAGAGGUAUCGCUGGAUUGAAGAGACGCUAUUAUUCUACAUAAACGAAAAAAAUUGAUGGCGAUCAGAAAUAAAAAGAGCUGAGAGAAAUAAGUUUUAGAAUUUUGACAAUUCAAUCAUCUAUCUGUUUAUCUGUACCGUUAGAACGACAAAAGGUGUCAUCCAUCUCUUUACCUAUCUAAACUUAUUUUCAAUUCAUCCAUUUUAUCAUUUCAAUCGAAUGCUGGCAUUGCAUUGCUCAUUCAAGAA
Molecule: long non-coding RNA, 465 nt
Organism: Magallana angulata
Lineage: Eukaryota; Metazoa; Mollusca; Bivalvia; Ostreida; Ostreidae
Exons: 3
Source: RefSeq, a predicted model, not a curated record